UUUGAGGGGUCCGAAUAGCAUUUAUCUUGGGAUUUCCUAGUAUCCUUGGCUUGCAUAAUUUUAUAAAAGUAAAAAUAAAAAUAAAAACGAAACAAAAUUAAAUAUUAGACUAAUAAAUAAAUAAACAACUAAAAUAAAAAAAUGCAAAUAAAACAAACAUAAGACGUAUAUAGAUAAAAGUAGAAAUAUCAAUGUAUAGAC
This 201-nucleotide long non-coding RNA is filed under the name Lathyrus oleraceus (garden pea). RNAcentral's name for it is "Pisum sativum (pea) long non-coding RNA (PSAT_LNC023572)". The record is from RNAcentral. Lineage: Eukaryota; Viridiplantae; Streptophyta; Magnoliopsida; Fabales; Fabaceae.